RNAcentral lists this ribosomal RNA (496 nucleotides) under uncultured bacterium. Its description in RNAcentral is "partial 16S ribosomal RNA". It matches the Rfam family "Bacterial small subunit ribosomal RNA", at positions 29 to 507 of the family's 1533-position model. The record is from RNAcentral.
AUGAACGCUGGCGGCGUGCCUAAUACCUGCAAGUCGAGCGAACAGACGAGGAGCUUGCUCCUCUGACGUUAGCGGCGGACGGGUGAGUAACACGUGGAUAACCUACCUAUAAGACUGGGAUAACUUCGGGAAACCGGAGCUAAUACCGGAUAAUAUAUUGAACCGCAUGGUUCAAUAGUGAAAGACGGUUUUGCUGUCACUUAUAGAUGGAUCCGCGCCGCAUUAGCUAGUUGGUAAGAUAACGGCUUACCAAGGCAACGAUGCGUAGCCGACCUGAGAGGGUGAUCGGCCACACUGGAACUGAGACACGGUCCAGACUCCUACGGGAGGCAGCAGUAGGGAAUCUUCCGCAAUGGGCGAAAGCCUGACGGAGCAACGCCGCGUGAGUGAUGAAGGUCUUCGGAUCGUAAAACUCUGUUAUUAGGGAAGAACAAAUGUGUAAGUAACUAUGCACGUCUUGACGGUACCUAAUCAGAAAGCCACGGCUAACUACGUG